RNAcentral lists this ribosomal RNA (1235 nucleotides) under Staphylinoidea sp. 7 KM-2017. RNAcentral describes it as "16S ribosomal RNA". The stretch from base 579 to 1235 matches the Rfam family "Archaeal large subunit ribosomal RNA", at positions 1423 to 2770 of the family's 2987-position model. The record is from RNAcentral. Lineage: Eukaryota; Metazoa; Arthropoda; Insecta; Coleoptera.
AUAUAAAAAAUUAUUUAAUUUUUUAAAAAAAAUAUAUUUAUGUUUUAGUUUUUAUAAAUAAAAAAUAGUAUUUAUGAUAGUUAAUUAGUAUAGUGAUAGAAUUUUAUUUUAUAUUUAAAAGUAAAUUUUAUUUAUUGUACCUUGUGUAUCAGGGUUUAUUAAUUAAAAAUUAAAAAUUUAAUAAUCUCGAUUUUAUAAGAGUUAAUUAAUUAUAGAUUUAAUUGUAAAAUAAAUUUUUAUAAUAAUUAAUUAGAAAUGAAAUGUUAUUCGUUUAUAAAUAUAUCUAGUUUUUAAAGAAAAAAAUUUAAUUUUUUAUUAAUUUUAUUAUAUAUUUUAUUUUAAAAAUAUAUUUUUAUUAAUAAUUAUAAAUAUUGAGAUUAGUUAAUAUUUAAAUAUUUAAAAAAAGUUAAGAAUUAAAUAAUUAAUAAGAUUAGAAAUUUUUAUUAAUAAUUUGUUAUAAUUAAUUAUUUUAAUUUAUAAUUUUUAUUUUUUUUAAGUGUUUUAUUUAAAUAAUUUAUUUAAUUUAAAAAUAAAUGUAAUAAUGAUAUAAUUAGUAUAAUUUUAUUUAUAAAUAAAUUUUUAUUUAAAGGUUAAUUAAAGGAAUUCGGCAAAUAAAUUUUUCGCCUGUUUAUUAAAAACAUGUCUUAUGGAGUAUAAUUUUAAGUUUAACCUGCCCACUGAUAAUUUAAAUGGCCGCAGUAUUUUGACUGUGCAAAGGUAGCAUAAUAAUUAGUUUUUUAAUUGAAAGCUAGAAUGAAUGGUUGGACGAAAAAAUAACUGUCUCUAAUUAAUUUAAUUAAAAUUUAAUAUUUAAGUUAAAAAGCUUAAAUAAUUUUUAAAGACGAGAAGACCCUAUAGAGUUUUAUUUAAUUAAAUUUAUUUAAAUUUUAGUAUUAAAUUUUUUAUAAUUUAAAUUAAAUUUUAUUGGGGUGAUAGAAAAAUUUAAUUAACUUUUUUUAUAUAAUUACAUUAAUUAAUGAAUAAUUGAUCCAUGAUAAUGAUUAAAAGAAUAAAUUACCUUAGGGAUAACAGCGUAAUUUUUAUAAAGAGUUCAUAUCGAAAUAAAAGUUUGCGACCUCGAUGUUGGAUUAAAAUUUAAUUUUGGUGUAGAAGCUAAAAUUUUUAGUCUGUUCGACUAUUAAAAUUUUACAUGAUCUGAGUUUAGACCGGCGUGAGCCAGGUUAGUUUCUAUCUUAAAAUAAUUAUUAUAUUUUAGUACGAAAGGACCAAAUAUA